RNAcentral lists this ribosomal RNA (49 nucleotides) under Chroogomphus filiformis. RNAcentral's name for it is "partial 28S ribosomal RNA". Lineage: Eukaryota; Fungi; Basidiomycota; Agaricomycetes; Boletales; Gomphidiaceae. The record is from RNAcentral.
UUGACCUCAAAUCAAGUAGGACUACCCGCUGAACUUAAGCAUAUCAUAA